CUACGGGCGGCUCCAGUGAGGAAUAUUGCACAAUGGGGGGAACCCUGAUGCAGCAACGCCGCGUGGAGGAUGACGCAUUUCGGUGUGUAAACUCCUUUUAUAUGUCAAGAAAAUGACGGUAGCAUAUGAAUAAGCACCGGCUAACUCCGUGCCAGCAGCCGCGGUAAUACGGAGGAUGCAAGCGUUACUCGGAAUCACUGGGCGUAAAGGACGCGUAGGCGGGUUGGAAAGUCAGGUGUGAAAUCCUACAGCUUAACUGUAGAACUGCACUUGAAACUUCUAAUCUAGAGUAUGGGAGGGGGAGAUGGAAUUAGUGGUGUAGGGGUAAAAUCCAUAGAUAUCACUAGGAAUACCUAAAGCGAAGGCGAUCUCCUGGAACAUUACUGACGCUAAGGCGUGAAAGCGUGGGGAGCAAACAGGAUUAGAUACCCGAGUAGUC
This 439-nucleotide ribosomal RNA is filed under the name uncultured bacterium. RNAcentral describes it as "partial 16S ribosomal RNA". It matches the Rfam family "Bacterial small subunit ribosomal RNA", at positions 339 to 795 of the family's 1533-position model. The record is from RNAcentral.